Molecule: long non-coding RNA, 688 nt
Organism: Cryptomeria japonica (Japanese cedar)
Lineage: Eukaryota; Viridiplantae; Streptophyta; Pinopsida; Cupressales; Cupressaceae
Exons: 5
Source: RefSeq, a predicted model, not a curated record
AGGGUGCUUUGUGUAGCACUGAGGUGGGUAGUUCUUCACGUGAUCCGUGGACCACUGAGGCUCAGCCUCAUAUACCACUAGCUUUUGGAUUGUUUGAUGGUGCAUCACAUGUACGCCUUCGACCAUCAGUUACUUUGCCUACAUCACAUGUCGAUACCACUACUAGUAUUGGUAUGGCUAUGGGAUUGAGCCAGAUGCAACCAUCCACAUUGUCAUUUGAGGACUUGACUACAACCACUUUUCUUGUUCAUGAUAGUGCACCUCCACAUACUAGUGAGGGCAUUGUAGAGCACGGUCAUAUGGAGGGUGUAGACACUGAUACUGCACAGGAGGGUGGAGUCACUGAUACUACACAGGAGGGUGGAGACACUGAUACUGCAUAGACACAAGAUGGUGCAUCUCAGGACCACGUGCAACAGGAUGAUUCAUCUCAGUCACCUUCACGUGGAGUGAAGAGGACUGCAUAUGAGAUGCACGCAAGUUCUUAGAUUGUAUAUUUUAGAUCAUGUCGUGUUAUUGUAUUAUGGACUUCUUAUGAUGACACUUGUUAUGUUAUCCUGAGACUUGUUAUUAUGUGAUUAUAUAUAGGACUCAUUGUUAUGUGAUUAUAUAUAGGACUUUUUAUCAUUUCAUUUCCUUGCUAUUAUGAUAUCAUGUUAUGUUAUGUGAUUUGGCGCACUCUAGUGAU